Molecule: long non-coding RNA, 2840 nt
Organism: Daphnia carinata
Lineage: Eukaryota; Metazoa; Arthropoda; Branchiopoda; Diplostraca; Daphniidae
Exons: 16
Source: RefSeq, a predicted model, not a curated record
CUUAGCGCGUGCAGUCUGCCUUCCUCGCUCGAUUUUGCUUCUUGACCACGUGGCUUUGGCGAUUUUUGGCGUUUAAUUUACUCAUUUUUCAACGCUUUUCAAGGAGGUGGAAGUCGUACUUGCCAUGAGUUAUUAAACAGUUUGGAAAAGGACAUUUUUCCAUGGAAUGCCCACAAGGAGGAGGUGGGAGUCGAGCAUUUUAGUGUUCAUUUCCAACCAAGAAGUGGUCCAUGUAGCAAGGGAUUUUCCACAAGGAGGGGUCAUUGGUGGCAGCAAGUGUUACAAUUGUCAUGAAGUUGGCCACACCUCAAAAGGCUGUACGUAUCUAUUCGUGAAUUGACGAAAAACGGAAAGCCGCGUGAACAAUACAUUCCGGAAGCUGUGACAAGCGAUGAAAAGGAACUGUUUAAGUGGGAUCGUCUGUGGGGAACGCUUUAACAAUUUUGAUAAAGUCGUUCUCCAUCGAAUCCAGGUUACAGGAAAAGAUGUACCUCAAUACAUAAAAUCACUCGAAAAAGGCGGCCUGCGCCCACUACUACUUCAAAACAUUAAGAAUUCUGGCUACAUAAAACCAACACCUGUACAGAAAGCUUCAGUUGCAGUUAGUCCUUGUUCUUGCCAAAAGAUAUUUGAUUGCUUGUGCUGUCACGGGCUCCGGCAAAACGGCGGCGUACUUGGUACCGGUUAUGAACAUAUUGUUAGAACAAGGUGUUGCUGGUGCGUCGCCGCCAUGGUCCAAAAGCCAGAAGUUGUAAUUGUCGCACUUACUCGUGAAUUUUCGAUUCGAAUUCACCGCGGGUCGUGUAAAUUCUCCUACAAUUCGGUUUUAAAAUCUGUCAUUAUAUAUGAAGGUACUGUCGCGAGCCAUCAGCGGUCAAAUCUUCAAGCUGGGUGCAAUACUCUUGUCGCGACCGCGGGGCGACUCGAGGAUUUUCUCAACCGUGGAGUAUUUUACUUCUCGACGGCCAGGUUUUUAAUUUUGGACGAAGCUGAUCGAAUGCUUUAUGGUUUUCGGUCCCGAUAUUGAAAAACUUGUCAGCCAUCCAACGAUGCCUACGAAAGGAAUCCGUCGUGUUUGUAUGUUUACGGUUUCACUGGCGCCCAAGUAGGAAAAUUGCCUUGUCUGGAAAUUUCGCAAAGUGUGACGGCGUUUGGCAGAACUAUGAUUGAGAAAACAAGAGAGGAUGUGGAGUCUAAAUUUUGCGUCGAGAAUGGCUAUGCCCAUGACGCCAAAGUAAUCUAUGGUAACACAGAUUCCGUAAUGGUGAAAUUCGGUGUACCCACGGUGGCCGAAGCCAUGGAAUUAGGCCGAGAAGCUGCCGCAUUUGUGUCGGCAAAAUUUGUCAAACCCAUUAAUUUGGAAUUGGGAAAAGUCUAUUACCCCUAUGUAUUGAUCAACAAAAAGAGGAAAUUACGGUAUGCAGGAUUGUAUUGGACCAAACCUGAAAAGUUUGACAAAAUGGAUUGUAAGGGUAUAGAAACCGUUCGUCGUGAUAAUUGUCAACUCGUUGCCAAUCUUAUCAAUAGCUGUCUGCAGAAAAUUUUGAUGGAGCGAGACCAGGAUGGAGCCUUAGAAUACGCUAAACAAACAACUUCCGACUUGCUGUGCAACAAAGUCGAUAUCUCACUUCUGGUGAUUACCAAGGAGCUGACUAAAACAGAUACAGACUACGCCAGCAAACAGGCACGUGUGGAACUAGCUCACAAGAUGCGUAAGCGAGAUGCUGGUACAACCCCAAAAUUAGGGGAUCGAGUUCCGUUUAUCAUUAUCGCAGCUGCUAAAAAUACACCAGCCUACCUCAAGGUUCGUCUUUGGAUUUCAAGGGAUUCAAUUUCUUUAUGCUCUCGAAGAGAAGUUUAAUCGUUUAUGGACAGAAUGACAACGGUGCCAGGGAAAUCUCAACGAAGAGAUUCUUUGUUCCAACCGAGAUUGCCCCAUCUUUUAUUUGAGGACAAAAAUUAGAAAAGAUCUCACGGAACAGGAUAAACUUAUGAAAAGAUUCGGCCUACCCUGACAACCUACCGCUCUCGUCAAUGAUGGUGCAUACAGUCUCGUAGGGGGCUAGUCGCUAGGUGGCCCAGGUGCUGUGCUGAGCUGAGCUGAGCUGCUGAUGGCAACAUUUAACAUGGCGUCGUAGCGGCUGGUUAUAUCACGGCAGCCGAACGUGGCAGACCUUCCUUUUUGUAGGUGAAAUUGAAGGGAGGAACUGCAAAUGCUCGGCGACAUCUUGUACGAACGAUGUGGUCUGACGAACACCUUGCCAAGGUGACCAUGCAUUACCUUUGAGUGUAUUUAAGUCGGUAGAUUUGCUCCGCAGUUUCCCGGAUACCAGCAUCCUGCUUCGCGAGAACUACUCUACGUUGUUCUGGGGGGCUUAGACGAACAUCUGAAUCCGAUUUUGAAGAAGUCUUGCAUCGAUGGUCACUUGACAAAAUAUAGGCAGAUUCGUAAUUAUAAAGAAUUGGGAAAGAAAAUUGACGGAGGCUCAGUGCCAAACAAAUUAUGGUAGUUGGAAUGAUUACCGAAGCUCUUCGGAUUCGUUUAUUUCACGCGUUAUAGUAUUUAAAGAAAAUAAACGUGUACCUGGGCCCCUUUGUAUCUGUGACCCGAUUUCCUCUUCACUUGUGAUAAUUCUGCAGCGGGUCAUGCAGAUACUGGGAUCAGCAGAGAAGGUUAGAAGUGCGCUGCCCGGAAAGCAAAUUUGGGGUAAAAGAAAAAAACUUAUUCCAACUAGUAAGCCAUUUCCAAAUUCAACCAACAAAAAGGUACACAGUGAGAUUUGUUUAACAAUUAUGUUUCUUUAAUUGAUUUUAAAAUUACGAAAAGGUGGAAGGAAAAA